UCUUCGCUAGUAUAUCGGUUAGUACACGCGCCUGUCAUUGACUCUCGGACGCGCGAAAGCUGGGUUCGACUCCCAGGCGAAGAG
Non-coding RNA from Termitomyces sp. T159_Od127, 84 nucleotides. Lineage: Eukaryota; Fungi; Basidiomycota; Agaricomycetes; Agaricales; Lyophyllaceae. The record is from the annotation of a GenBank genome assembly.